AACGAACGCUGGCGGCGCGUCUUAAGCAUGCAAGUCGAACGGCAUGAGGAAGCUUGCUUCCUCAGAGAGUGGCGGACUGGUGAGUAACACGUGGGUGACCUACCCUUGAGAUGGGGAUAGCCGUUAGAAAUAGCGGAUAAUACCGAAUACGCUCUACGGACUCUGGUUUGUAGAGGAAACAGGCUACGGCCUGGCUCGAGGAUGGGCCCGCGUCCCAUUAGCUAGUUGGUGAGGUAAGAGCCCACCAAGGCGACGAUGGGUAUCCGGCCUGAGAGGGUGUACGGACACAUUGGGACUGAGAUACGGCCCAAACUCCUACGGGAGCAGCAGCUAAGAUAUUCCGCAAUGGACGAAAGUCUGACGGAGCGACGCCGCGUGGAUGACGAAGGCCGAAAGGUUGUAAAAUCCUUUUGCUGAUGAAGAAUAAGCGUGGUAGGGAAUGACCGCGUGAUGACAUUAGUCGGUGAAUAAGCCCCGGCUAACUACGUGCCAGC
RNAcentral lists this ribosomal RNA (494 nucleotides) under uncultured bacterium. RNAcentral describes it as "bacterial SSU rRNA". It matches the Rfam family "Bacterial small subunit ribosomal RNA", at positions 29 to 512 of the family's 1533-position model. The record is from RNAcentral.